This is a long non-coding RNA of Saccostrea cuccullata (small rock oyster), 807 nucleotides long. RefSeq lists it as uncharacterized. The record is from RefSeq and is a predicted model, not a curated record. NCBI's taxonomy places the organism in Eukaryota, Metazoa, Mollusca, Bivalvia, Ostreida, Ostreidae. The transcript has 2 exons.
UUUUUUCAGAAUUUGAUUUGACACCAAAUAGAUAUCCUGCUUAUAAAAAUAUCGAAACUCGCGAAAAAUCUUUUGGAGACUGCAAAAUUAGCAGCAUAAAAGACAGAGCCUUGGACUUUGCAAAAGAUGGAUUUUAUUACGAAGGUUAUGGUGGGGUAACAACAUGUUUCCACUGUGGAACUCAGAAAGAUGAUUGGAAAGAAGGAGCAGAUAUACAUGUGGAGCAUUUGACAUUAAAUCAAGAUUGUGAAUUCGUUAAAUACGUACAGUUACAUACUUUGAAGACAAAAUAGAAAUAUAUAACUGGUAGCUAUUAUAUCAGUUUAAUUACACCAGUGUUGUUCAAACCUAAUUUAAUUCAACAGAGCAUAAUAGUAUUUAGAAUUUAGCUUACCACUUGGACAGUGCUUCAUCUGAGUGGAAAAUGAGUGGAAAAUGAGUUUUAUCUGCCUUUGUCAGUUAUAUUGUUCUGUGUAUAGUUAAAACAUGUGCUUUGAACACUUUUUAAAAUAUUUUAGGGUAUUUUUUAAAUGUUUGCAAUGGGGAAAGUGUACAGUUUUUGCUGAUGUUUCAUUAUAAGUGCGCAAACUCUUAACUCAGGUUUAUGAUUUAAGAAGUCUUUGGUCAAAUGCAGAUUAUUUUUUUUUUCUUAUUUCCUCAUACAAGUAAUAAUAUUUUCACUUUUGUAUAGUCAGAUACAGCUGUAUGAGCUGUAUGUUUUUGAAAGUUUUUCUUUAGGUAUAUAGAAGAUGACAUCUCAGGUAUAAAGGAUUUGUUUAUUAUUUUUAUUCUAAAAUUAUUAGUAUA